Molecule: ribosomal RNA, 497 nt
Filed under: uncultured bacterium
Lineage: Bacteria
Description: partial 16S ribosomal RNA
Rfam family: Bacterial small subunit ribosomal RNA
Source: RNAcentral
GAUGAACGCUGGUGGCGUGCCUAAUACAUGCGAGUCGAGCGAACGGACGAGAAGCUUGCUUCUCUGAUGUUAGCGGCGGACGGGUGAGUAACACGUGGAUAACCUACCUAUAAGACUGGGAUAACUUCGGGAAACCGGAGCUAAUACCGGAUAAUAUUUUGAACCGCAUGGUUCAAAAGUGAAAGACGGUCUUGCUGUCACUUAUAGAUGGAUCCGCGCUGCAUUAGCUAGUUGGUAAGGUAACGGCUUACCAAGGCAACGAUGCAUAGCCGACCUGAGAGGGUGAUCGGCCACACUGGAACUGAGACACGGUCCAGACUCCUACGGGAGGCAGCAGUAGGGAAUCUUCCGCAAUGGGCGAAAGCCUGACGGAGCAACGCCGCGUGAGUGAUGAAGGUCUUCGGAUCGUAAAACUCUGUUAUUAGGGAAGAACAUAUGUGUAAGUAACUGUGCACAUCUUGACGGUACCUAAUCAGAAAGCCACGGCUAACUACGUG